AGAGCUGGCGUCGAGGGAGGCGGCGCCCGACACCAGGCUGCAGACAACCAGCGGCAGGAUGAUCAUGCGCAGCAUGCGGAGCAGCAUCUCGCCGGGGAAGGACAGAUGUGUAAGUACCACAUUACAAAGUACCUUGCAAGUGGUGCAAUCUGAGACCACUCGCCAUCACCACCAACUUGAAACUCUCAAUAGGCUGGAGGACUGCUCGGAUACACAUGACAAAUGAUGCUUAUAUUCAGUGUCCACAACUACAGUGAACCUAGGCUUAGAUGUACUUCCUGGCUACUGACCUGAACCACAACAGAUUUUCCUCCUACUUAAGAAAGAAUGUUGGCCUGCAAGGUCCUCCAACUCAGUCUGGACUCAACCAUAUGAUUUUCUUUAGCCAAUGGGUAUACCUGACCCAAGGCAAGCAGAAGUUUGAAAUAGGCUUACACAUUAGGCUUUUCUCUUGUGCCAUUGCCAUCAGAACAUGCCUGGGGGGAAGAGAGACACACGGAGCACAGCUGAGUCCUCAGUCAUCAUAGCAGAGUUCAUCCUCGAUCAACUACCAGCCAGACUACCCCAAACGUGGAAGUGGAAUCAGCCAGUCAGCUGAGCUGUCUAGCCGCUCCCUACCACCACUCUGAGAAAUAUGAGCAAUAAAAACCACUGUUGUGCGCCAUGAAA
Neogale vison (American mink) is the source of this 669-nucleotide long non-coding RNA. RefSeq lists it as uncharacterized. Lineage: Eukaryota; Metazoa; Chordata; Mammalia; Carnivora; Mustelidae. The transcript has 4 exons. The record is from RefSeq and is a predicted model, not a curated record.